This 844-nucleotide long non-coding RNA is filed under the name Phoenix dactylifera (date palm). RNAcentral's name for it is "long non-coding RNA (PDAC_LNC009281)". The record is from RNAcentral. Lineage: Eukaryota; Viridiplantae; Streptophyta; Magnoliopsida; Arecales; Arecaceae.
CAAUUAAAUCAAUUAAAUUGCAAUCCAAUUGCAAAUCCUUCUUCUUUAACUCACUAACUUUUAGCGGGUUAAACCAAUUGUCAAUCAAAUUGACAAUCAAUUUUAAUUGCGAAUCUAAACCGCAAUCCAACCGUCGGAACGAUCAAAACCUCUAAUGUUUGUGACCCCGUAGGUUCUAUUCUGAUUGGUAGUGAGAUAUAUUAUGAUCUCCAUCAUAAUAUCAUCGAAACUUCUUUCAAUGGGUUGAAACGAUUUCAACUGUACUCUUAGGAUUCACUGAUCACCAAGUGAAUGCCUUUAAGUCUCACAAUCCACUAGUGAUACCUAGCAGCAUAUAGUGACAAUCCAGCAGAACAGAAGGGAUGAACCUCUAGGUGCAGUUAGCGUAUGAUAUAGUACCUCUAUCGUAGAUCCUGACAUGACGAAGGUUAUGAAUAACUCGUCAAAUCCCAUCGUCUGUCUUAUGUCAGAUUUCUUUGACUCAAGUUCGAGAUUGGAAAACUCUUUUUUCAGAACUGCCCUGACCAAGGUCUUUCGAACUUAAUCUUAUAAAUCACAUAGGAUCACUCCUAAUCUAUCAAGGUCGAUAGAUCCCAUCUAGAUGCAACCCUAAUCCGACAGCGAACCUACUGCAGCCAAUCUGCACCACAAGAACACUUAGGGCUCAUGUUUAUGUGCUCGUCAAACUACAGAAACCUCACCGUGACUAGUUGAGGCAUCGCAGAUCUAAGUACUAGUCAUACAACUGCAGCAUCAAGUAAGUCACUGACGAAUGGAUAGACAUACAAGUGACUUCUUGCUUUGGUCACGCUCAGUACUCUUAUCUCUAACAAGCACUUGCACA